GACGAACGCUGGCGGCGUGCUUAACACAUGCAAGUCGAACGGGCCUGUCUUCUUUUUUGGGGGUGGGUUGAGUGGCGAACGGGUGAGUAUCACGUGAGUAACCUGCCCUUCGGUCCUGGAUAACCGCUUGAAAGGGCGGCUAAUACGGGGUGGUCCGGUUGGUCCGCAUGGGCUGGUCGGGAUAGAUUCACUGUUUUUGGUGUUUCGGCGGGGGAUGGGCUCGCGGCCCAUCAGCUUGUUGGUGGGGUGAUGGCCUACCAAGGCGGUGACGGGUAGCCGGCCUGAGAGGGUGGGCGGCCACACUGGGACUGAGAUACGGCCCAGACUCCUGCGGGAGGCAGCAGUGGGGGGUAUUGCACAAUGGGCGGAAGCCUGAUGCAGCGACGUCGCGUGAGGGAUGGAGGCCUUCGGGUUGUGAACCUCUGUUUCCGGUGGUGAAGGCCCUGUCCGUGUGGUGGGGUUGACGGUAGCCGGGGAUGAAGCGCCGGCUAACUACGUG
Molecule: ribosomal RNA, 499 nt
Filed under: uncultured bacterium
Lineage: Bacteria
Description: partial 16S ribosomal RNA
Rfam family: Bacterial small subunit ribosomal RNA
Source: RNAcentral